This 77-nucleotide transfer RNA is filed under the name Pseudomonadota bacterium. RNAcentral's name for it is "tRNA-Arg". It matches the Rfam family "tRNA". From Rfam's summary of the family: Transfer RNA (tRNA) molecules are approximately 80 nucleotides in length. Their secondary structure includes four short double-helical elements and three loops (D, anti-codon, and T loops). Further hydrogen bonds mediate the characteristic L-shaped molecular structure. tRNAs have two regions of fundamental functional importance: the anti-codon, which is responsible for specific mRNA codon recognition, and the 3' end, to which the tRNAs corresponding amino acid is attached (by aminoacyl-tRNA synthetases). tRNAs cope with the degeneracy of the genetic code in two manners: having more than one tRNA (with a specific anti-codon) for a particular amino acid; and 'wobble' base-pairing, i.e. permitting non-standard base-pairing at the 3rd anti-codon position. The record is from RNAcentral. RNAcentral also lists the same sequence under 2 other names. Lineage: Bacteria; Pseudomonadati; Pseudomonadota.
GGCCUCGUAGCUCAACUGAAUAGAGCAUCUGACUACGGAUCAGAAGGUUGGGGGUUUGAAUCCCUCCGAGGUCACCA